UACGUAGGGGGCAAGCGUUAUCCGGAUUUACUGGGUGUAAAGGGAGCGUAGACGGUUUGAUAAGUCAGAUGUGAAAUCUUGGGGCUCAACUCUGAGACUGCAUUUGAAACUAUCGGACUGGAGUGCAGGAGAGGUAAGUGGAAUUCCUAGUGUAGCGGUGAAAUGCGUAGAUAUUAGGAAGAACACCGGUGGCGAAGGCGGCCCACUGGCUCGAUACUGACGCUGAGGUGCGAAAGCGUGGGGAGCAAACAGG
Molecule: ribosomal RNA, 253 nt
Filed under: uncultured bacterium
Lineage: Bacteria
Description: partial 16S ribosomal RNA
Rfam family: Bacterial small subunit ribosomal RNA
Source: RNAcentral